UAUGUCCGAAAACAGUUGAAUUUUGGGUUUGCAUAUAUUAAAACAUUGGAUUUUUUUGGGUUUGCAUUUAGUUUCGAAUACACGCUAUUUAUCAAAAAGACGCUCUUUAUCAAUUUUUAGAGGAAAGAGGUAUAAGCGACGAGCUUGCUGUUUUCUUGCAUCAGUAUAUGAAGAACAAAGGUAAAGGUGAGUACGUUCGAUGGAUGGAGAGCGCUAAAUCGUAUGUCGAGCAAAAAUAGACACCAGCCUGCAGUACCGUAAUUCGGUUCCAAAGAAUGAAGUGGCCGGUGUGUAUGUUUGAUUGGCAUGUGGUGCAAUUCAUCAACGUCUGCUUGCCAUCUCUAGGAACUUGGAGAGAAGAGGAAAGAAGAUGAAAAGAAAGAGAAAGAAGAAGCUCAACAUAAGGCGUUAAAAGAAGAAGCAGCAACCAUGUCUUACGGCGAGCUAAUGGAGAUGAAAGAGAGACUGGCAAUCAAAAUCAUUACCAGCUUCAAUUUUUUGACAGACGAAAGCAAUGCCUAGUGUGAAACUUAUUAAUACUAAGAAACUAUCAAUAUCAUAAUGAUACGUCGACAUGGGACGUAGACACU
Molecule: long non-coding RNA, 590 nt
Organism: Arabidopsis lyrata subsp. lyrata
Lineage: Eukaryota; Viridiplantae; Streptophyta; Magnoliopsida; Brassicales; Brassicaceae
Exons: 3
Source: RefSeq, a predicted model, not a curated record